GAUUCCCCUAGUACUGCGAGUGAAGCGGGAAAAGCUCAAAUUUAAAAUCUGGCGGUCUUUGGCCGUCCGAGUUGUAGUCUGGAGAAGCGUCUUCCGCGUUGGACCGUGUACAAGUCUCUUGGAACAGAGCGUCAUAGAGGGUGAGAAUCCCGUCUUUGACACGGACUACCAAUGCUUUGUGAUGCGCUCUCAAAGAGUCGCGUUGUUUGGGAAUGCAGCGCAAAAUGGGAGGUGAAUUCCUUCUAAAGCUAAAUAUUGGCGAGAGACCGAUAGCGAACAAGUACCGUGAGGGAAAGAUGAAAAGCACUUUGGAAAGAGAGUUAAACAGUACGUGAAAUUGCUGAAAGGGAAACGCUUGAAGUCAGUCGCGUCGUCCGGAACUCAGCCUUGCUUCGGCUUGGUGCACUUUCCGGUUGACGGGCCAGCAUCGAUUUUGACCGCUGGAAAAGGGCUGGAGGAAUGUGGCACCUUCGGGUGUGUUAUAGCCUUCAGUCGCAUACAGCGGUUGGGAUCGAGGAACGCAGCACGCCUUAUGGCUGGGGUUCGCCCACAUUCGUGCUUAGGAUGCUGGCAUAAUGGCUUUAAACGACCCGUCUUGAAACACGGACCAA
This 611-nucleotide ribosomal RNA is filed under the name Trametes hirsuta. Its description in RNAcentral is "eukaryotic LSU rRNA". It matches the Rfam family "Eukaryotic large subunit ribosomal RNA", at positions 73 to 669 of the family's 3401-position model. The record is from RNAcentral. Lineage: Eukaryota; Fungi; Basidiomycota; Agaricomycetes; Polyporales; Polyporaceae.